GACGAACGCUGGCGGCGUGCUUAACACAUGCAAGUCGAGCGGUAAGGCCCUUUCGGGGGUACACGAGCGGCGAACGGGUGAGUAACACGUGGGUGACCUGCCCUCAGCUCUGGGAUAAGCCCGGGAAACUGGGUCUAAUACCGGAUAUGACUCCAUGACGCAUGUUGUGGGGUGGAAAGCCUUGUGCGGCUGAGGAUGGGCCCGCGGCCUAUCAGCUUGUUGGUGGGGUGAUGGCCUACCAAGGCGACGACGGGUAGCCGGCCUGAGAGGGCGACCGGCCACACUGGGACUGAGACACGGCCCAGACUCCUACGGGAGGCAGCAGUGGGGAAUCUUGCGCAAUGGGCGAAAGCCUGACGCAGCGACGCCGCGUGAGGGAUGACGGCCUGG
This 390-nucleotide ribosomal RNA is filed under the name uncultured bacterium. RNAcentral's name for it is "bacterial SSU rRNA". It matches the Rfam family "Bacterial small subunit ribosomal RNA", at positions 28 to 419 of the family's 1533-position model. The record is from RNAcentral.